GAAUAUUGGACAAUGGGUGAGAGCCUGAUCCAGCCAUGCCGCGUGCAGGAAGAAGGCCUUCUGGGUUGUAAACUGCUUUUAUCUGGGGAUAAAAAGGCCUUGCGAGGCAAACUGAAGGUACCAGAUGAAUAAGCCACGGCUACCUACGUUCCAGCCGCCGCGGUAAUACGUAGGUGGCAAGCGUUGUCCGGAUUUAUUGGGUUUAAAGGGUGCGUAGGCGGUUUAUUAAGGCAGUGGUGAAAGACGAUAGCUUAACUAUCGAGGUGCCAUUGAUACUGAUGAACUUGAGUGCACACGAGGUAAGCGGAAUGGACGGUGUAGCGGUGAAAUGCAUAGAUAUCGUCCAGAACACCGAUAGUGAAGACAGCUUACCAGAGUGCAACUGACGCUGAGGCACGAAAGUGUGGGGAUCAAACAGG
RNAcentral lists this ribosomal RNA (419 nucleotides) under uncultured bacterium. RNAcentral's name for it is "bacterial SSU rRNA". It matches the Rfam family "Bacterial small subunit ribosomal RNA", at positions 359 to 776 of the family's 1533-position model. The record is from RNAcentral.